This 363-nucleotide ribosomal RNA is filed under the name uncultured bacterium. RNAcentral describes it as "bacterial SSU rRNA". It matches the Rfam family "Bacterial small subunit ribosomal RNA", at positions 993 to 1354 of the family's 1533-position model. The record is from RNAcentral.
GCGUAUCCGAAAGCUGCUCAUAUCGUUCGUUAUUGGCGAACUCUGAGCCAGGUCUGCAUUAUCGUCAGCUCGUGUCGUGAGAUGUUGGGUUAAGUCCCGUAACGAGCGCAACCCUUGUCCUUAGUUGCCAGCACGUAUGGUGGGCACUCUAAGGAGACUGCCGGUGACAAACCGGAGGAAGGUGGGGAUGACGUCAAGUCAUCAUGGCCCUUACGGCCUGGGCUACACACGUGCUACAAUGGUCGGGUACAGAGGUUGCCAAGCCGCGAGGUGGAGCUAAUCCCAUAAAACCGAUCGUAGUCCGGAUCGCAGUCUGCAACUCGACUGCGUGAAGUCGGAAUCGCUAGUAAUCGCAGAUCAAAU